GACGAACGCUGGCGGCGUGCCUAAUACAUGCAAGUCGAGCGAAGUUUUUCUGGUGCUUGCACCGGAAAAACUUAGCGGCGAACGGGUGAGUAACACGUAAAGAACCUGCCUCAUAGACUGGGACAACUAUUGGAAACGAUAGCUAAUACCGGAUAACAGCAUUAACUGCAUGGUUGAUGUUUAAAAGUUGGUUUUGCUAACACUAUGAGAUGGCUUUGCGGUGCAUUAGCUAGUUGGUGGGGUAAAGGCCUACCAAGGCGACGAUGCAUAGCCGACCUGAGAGGGUGAUCGGCCACACUGGGACUGAGACACGGCCCAGACUCCUACGGGAGGCAGCAGUAGGGAAUCUUCCGCAAUGGGCGAAAGCCUGACGGAGCAACGCCGCGUGAGUGAAGAAGGAUUUCGGUUCGUAAAGCUCUGUUGUUAGGGAAGAAUGAUUGUAUAGUAACUAUACACAGUAGAGACGGUACCUAACCAGAAAGCCACGGCUAACUACGU
Molecule: ribosomal RNA, 498 nt
Filed under: uncultured bacterium
Lineage: Bacteria
Description: partial 16S ribosomal RNA
Rfam family: Bacterial small subunit ribosomal RNA
Source: RNAcentral